Drosophila nasuta is the source of this 1215-nucleotide long non-coding RNA. RefSeq lists it as uncharacterized. NCBI's taxonomy places the organism in Eukaryota, Metazoa, Arthropoda, Insecta, Diptera, Drosophilidae. The transcript has 3 exons. The record is from RefSeq and is a predicted model, not a curated record.
UCACCGAAGCAGCCAAAAAGCAACUUCGAAACUAUGAUAUGCAGCCUACAACAAAGCCUUACGGAAUUUACAUAUAUCAUUUAUGCGCACAACUGUGCAAGAUUUAAUGCGAAACCAAAAUCAAUUCGCUCGCUCUCGAAGUCGCAGUCGGACGUGUUUUUUUUCUUCCCUCUUAAACUUUGUGAUUUUUCAUUAAAUUUCAUAUUUAUUUACAAUUAAUAUAACAUUAAUUUUACUCUCUCACUUGUGUUUAACUACAGAUCAUUAAAUCGUUGUGUGCUUUCUUGUAUUUAGUAUAUUAUUAUCAUUUUUCUGAAAAUAUAACAACAAAUUGUGUGGUCAAACUUAGCUUUGCUUUGUUAGCAAAACAAUUCUGUUUUCGUUGCCGCUGCACUUUGUUUUUGUAUUUUUGUUUACUUUCGCGCUCUUCUUUUUUCACUUGCUAUUCUUUGCGCUCAACGCUGUUACAAUAGUUAACUCUCCCUCUCUUGGUGUUGUUGUUGGCUUUCGUCUAUCUUGCGUCUCGCUCGACCCGCGCUUUACUCUCAGUGCUUGUGCUUUGUGCUCUCAACGCUCUUUAGAAUAGUAACUCUCCCUCUCUUGGUGUUGUAGUUGCCUAUCUAUCUUGCGUCUCGCUCGACCUGUGUUUUGUGCUCUUCCAAUAUGUUGGUCUGCUAUAACAAGAACAAGAUUUUGAUUAAAGCUUCAUUAUUGGAUCCGCGCUUCAAAAAAAUGUAUGUACAUUCCUCCCACAAUGGUGUUGGAAGCCUCAAAGGACAUUCUGGAGGAGAUGCAACUUAAUAGCGAAGGAAAGAGACGCUCGUUAAACUUGCAACCGCCGGAAGAAUUAGAUAUAACAAAUUUCAACCGCCAAAAAGUUUUUUUGAGGCUCACAAUAGAAGCAUUCAGCAAACGAAAAGCUCGGACAGCCCCUCUGAAAAGGAGUUUAACUUAUAUAUUUCAUUGCCAAACUCCAAUUGGGAAGCUGACCCAAUAGAAUUCUGGACUUCCCAACAGCAGACAAUGCCACACAUUUCAAAGUUGGCACUACGUUACCUGAUAACACCAGGUAACUCAGUAUCCUCAGAAAGGAUGGCUUCGGCUAUCAAAUGUGUAGUGUGUGACUCACGCAGCCGUAUGACUGAUCGACAUGUAACACAGCUUGUAUUUUUAAAAUCAGUGGUCAAAUAAUACUGGAAAUAAAUUUAAGUUUAU